This 254-nucleotide ribosomal RNA is filed under the name uncultured bacterium. RNAcentral describes it as "partial 16S ribosomal RNA". It matches the Rfam family "Bacterial small subunit ribosomal RNA", at positions 524 to 776 of the family's 1533-position model. The record is from RNAcentral.
UACGAAGGGGGCUAGCGUUGUUCGGAAUUACUGGGCGUAAAGGGCGCGUAGGCGGUGUGUCAAGUCAGGCGUGAAAGCCCCGGGCUCAACCUGGGAACCGCGCUUGAGACUGGCACGCUCGAGUUCGGGAGAGGAUGGUGGAAUUCCCAGUGUAGAGGUGAAAUUCGUAGAUAUUGGGGAAGAACACCGAUGGCGAAGGCAGCCAUCUGGACCGACACUGACGCUGAGGCGCGAAAGCGUGGGGAGCAAACAGG